RNAcentral lists this long non-coding RNA (826 nucleotides) under Homo sapiens (human). Its description in RNAcentral is "HSALNT0074788". Lineage: Eukaryota; Metazoa; Chordata; Mammalia; Primates; Hominidae. The record is from RNAcentral.
GAGCAAGUUAAAUGGGUGGUUUCUGCUCACCCAGAUAAGUGAAAAGAAUAAAAUUUUAUGAUACCAGAAAAAAUGAAAACAUUUCCAGCAAGAUCUGAAGGCACUACAGGAGGAGACUGAACAAAAAUGGAGAAAACACACACGAAACUGAUAUGAAGCACAUUUUUAAAAAUGGAUACUUAGUUGAAUAUAGCAUUCUGUAAUUAUGCAAAGUAAAAACAAAUCAAAACCCUAUACAUAGAGGCCAGGCACGGUGGCUCACGCCUGUAAUCCUAGUACUUUGGGAGGCCGAGGCAGGUGGAUCACCUGAUAUCAGGACUUCAAGAGCAGCCUGGCCAACAUGGUGAAACCCUUCUCUACUAAAAAUACAAAAAUUAGCCGGGCAUGGUGGCUCAUGCCUGUAAUCCCAGCUACCCAGGAGGCUGAGGCAGGAGAAUUGCUGGAGCCAGGGAGGCAGAGGCUGCAGUGAGCCAAGAUCAUGUCACUGCACUCUAGCCUGGGUGACAACGUGAGACUCCAUCUCAAAAAAAAAAAAAAAAAAAAAAAACCUAUACAUAGAAAAUUGCUGGGCAAGGAGUGACAGCUCACUCCUGUAAUCCCAACACUUUGGGAGGCAGAGGCCAAAGAAUUGCUUGAGCCCAGGAGUUCAAGACCAGCCUGGGCAACAUACUGAGACCCUAUCUCUACAAAAAAAAAAUAUUUUAAAUUACACUGGGUGUGGUGGCUUACACCUGUAAUCCCAGCACUUUGGGAGGAGGCCAGAGGAUUGCUUGAGCCCAAGAAUUCGAGACAAGCCUAGGCAACACAGGGAGCCCCUGUCUCUACA